CUGAAACACAUUUGUAGAAUAUCAUUAUUCGUUCAUAUUCCUUCUCCCAUGUUUCAAAAAAAUACUCCUUCUCCCACUAUGGUCUGCUUCAUGUUAAAACCAAUACAAAUCUUGGGGCUAUCCGAGAAAAAAUGCAACAAAAGGCUUCCCGUUGCAUACAUAUUUGUUAUCGUAGCUGAUUCCCACCGUAUGGCCUUAUAUUUUACUCCCACCAACUAUUCAUGCUACUGUUGCAUCAGUAGAGAAAAUAUUAUAAAAGGUAAAAUUUGCUAAAAUUCCUAACCGAUAAUUCCUGAAAAAAUGCCAUGAUCAUACGCUAUAGUCCAACUAUAGAUUUCUUUGUUGAUAAAAUCAUCUACAACUCAAUCCUAAUGUUACUAACAGCUCUAGGACAUAAACAGACAGAACAAACUGUUGCAUCAGCGGAGCAGAAUUUCCCUAAAUUACAGUUGCUAAAAAAACAGACAAACUGGGUAAAAAAACAGACAGUGCUAAGCAUAAAAAAAAGUGCAAUUUCUUUGACCUUCAUUGUAAACUAUUUGCACCCCAUAUUUAAGAACUUUCUACUAAAAUAUAUCCAACAUUGUAUUACAAGAUCCAAAACAUUGUAAUUCCAAAGUUUGCACUCUAAAGUUUAAGAACUUUGUACUAGCAUCUUAUAAACUUUGUAGAUCUAGCUCCAAAAACUAUUUUGUAAAAAGAGCUCCAAAACUAUAUAAUUCCAAAAUUGUGCUCCCAAGUUAAAGAACUUUGUAAUAGCACAUUUCAAACUUUGUACUCCUAGAUCCAAAACUUUACAAUCACAAUACUAAACUUUGAAAUAUAUAUAUAUAUAUAUAUCCAAAACUUUAAGCUUGUAGCUCAAAACCUUUGAACAUGGAUGAGAGAAACUUUCAAAUCACACAUUCAAAACGUCCUACAUCUUUAGCUUUCAGCUUUUAAGUCACAUAUCAAAACCUUUCUAUCUACUAGAAUUAAAAACUUUCAAACCAUAUGUUCAAAACUUUGUACAUAUAGCUUUCAAGUCACUUACUAAAAUUCAUGUACAUGGAAUUCAAAAUCUAUCAAAUCAUACAUUUGAAAACUGUUUACAUCUUUAACUUUCAAGUCACGUAUCAAAACCUUUGUAGAUGGAAUAAAAAAACUUUUAGACCACAUUUUGUAACUUAUGAUAUCUCAAGCUUUAAAGCCACAUUCUAAAAACUCUGAAGCUCCCAAUCAAAAACUUUGAGUGCGGAUACUGAGAAACUUUCUAAUCAUGUAGAGAGAACCUUUGGACAAGAAUUCGAAGAUAUUAAACCCAGAAAAUUAAUAUUGAAGUUGUAAGAUAAAACUUUGAAUCCCUCAAUUCACAACUUUAAAGUGUUAUAGCUAAAAACUUUCAUGUCAUUCUGAAAAAAACUUUUGGCAACUUUGGGCAUAGACAUUAAAAGCUUUGGGCCUAGAGAUUUAAAACUUUCAUGUUCAUGUAGAAAAACUUCAGGAAUGCCAAUAUAUGUCGACAUAGAAAGGAAGAAUCCAGGGCAUUUUUUCUUAUCGGAAUCAUUUCCUUUAUGCAAAAUAUAGAAGUAUAAUUUGGACCACAGCAAAACCUAGUCUAGCAAUUUAACCUCGUCCUAUCCCAAAUGAUAGUACCAUUUUCACAUAAUAUUCACACCAUGAAUGUCUUUGCAAAAAAGAAGUGUAAGCAUCCUAGACUUUCAAGUCAUAGACCUGACGUUGUACACCAAGUAAGAAAACAAUCACCACAUUUGUUGAAAUAAAUGUUUGCGCAUCUCAGCCUGAAAGAAAAGGUUUUCUAAAAAAUAUGUUCCUUCUUAUCCAUUGAGAAAUAAGAACAUCGCUAGUUAAUCCAGUCCCGUCAACCAAAUUUGCAGCCUGCCCCAAAAAAUGCACUACAACAAUCAAAAUGGAAAACAAUAUACUAAUAUGGCAGGCUUUACGCAGGGGGACUUCACAGAUGACUUAUGGAAUGCACAAACCAGGGAGUUUAUUAAAUCAGUUGCAAUUAUGCCUAAAAAAGGGAAUUAGAAAAGAUAUGUCAGGUUAUAUUAUCCCAUUUGUUUAGUAUUGAAUUCUCGAGCUGUUAAAAAGUAUCCCUUAAAAAAUAGCCAACAUAUGUUUCUGAAAAACAUUGAAUUAGAAAAUUGAUGCUACCUGUAACUGUAAGAUAAUUGUUGUCAACUUUCCUUUGGGAAAUUUUCUGAGAUUAAUGACAAAUUGUUUGAGGGCUCAAUUUGACACUUCUUCUGUUAGCUAAACCAUGCUUGAAUGAGUUAAGCAAGCAGACAACAUCCUUCCUGUAUUUUAAUCACACUACCUACAUGUUUUGACACAUUUCGAAGCACUGAAUAAGGAUUAUAAUGCUUGAACAGUUUUCAACCAAAACAAAACAAGCAGAUUGCGUAUUUCAGAUUUCCCAGUACCCCCCAUGGCAAGCAGCAAAACACAAUACCAUACUAAACCCUUUUCACAGGUUGCUUGCAGCCAUCACAAGAUAAGAUAAAGCAAAGUUGAGAGCAUCAGAGAUUCAUAAAUAGGUAGAUCAGAAAAGGGGAGGGGCGAGCUGAAGCACAAGACCUAUUGGCUGUCAGUUGUUGCUCGUGCUCGAGGAUGUAGAAGAGACCCAUCACGCUCUUGUGCUGCCGCUCGUUGCUGUAGUUGGACAUCAAAGUCAGCCACGCCGUCGCCCACCUGCACGGCGCCUGGUUUCGGCCACAUCGGAAGCAUCCUCUCGUCUCGAUUUGCCUCCCCCGCAGGCACUAAAAAAAUUGCUGAGCCACGAUGCACGCAAAAAAGGAGGGGAAGUGGAACUGGAUUGAAGACAAUAUCCACAUCACCUUCGAUCUAAUGCCGCCGUCGGAGAUGAAACGAUUUGAGCGGCGAAACGGGGUUGGAUCCAGCUUCCGCCUCCCUGUAGAUGCAGACGAAACGGCGAGGCGGCGAGCUCGACAAACGGCGCUGCGGCGAUUUGGAAGGGACGGAAAAAAUCAGGAGAAAUGUUGAAUCGUGUUGGAUAUUUUGGAAUAAACAGGGGGCAGUGGGGGAAUUGAAACUGGUAUACGAAACGGAGAGGGGUGCGGAGUGCGGACAGCUAGACGACACGGAAGACGAAAAGGGAAAGAGGGUCAUAGACAAAACAGGUAGAUUGCUGGGAUGGUUGCACACGAACGCGCGAUUUUGUCUGCUUCGAGUAAUUAUAAACCUAAAGAUCCAAAGCACCGAGAGGGCAACAAUAAUUUAUCAAACAUCCCUAAAAACCUUUAAAGAUAAACAACAAUAAUACUAC
Molecule: long non-coding RNA, 3289 nt
Filed under: Setaria italica (foxtail millet)
Lineage: Eukaryota; Viridiplantae; Streptophyta; Magnoliopsida; Poales; Poaceae
Description: long non-coding RNA (SITA_LNC006898)
Source: RNAcentral